Molecule: transfer RNA, 68 nt
Filed under: Dipodomys ordii (Ord's kangaroo rat)
Lineage: Eukaryota; Metazoa; Chordata; Mammalia; Rodentia; Heteromyidae
Rfam family: tRNA
About the family: Transfer RNA (tRNA) molecules are approximately 80 nucleotides in length.
Source: Rfam by way of RNAcentral
GGUAAAAUAGCCAGGUAAGGUAAUAGACUGUAAAGCUAACUACAGAGAUAGAAACCUCUUUUUUACCA